RNAcentral lists this ribosomal RNA (492 nucleotides) under uncultured bacterium. Its description in RNAcentral is "partial 16S ribosomal RNA". It matches the Rfam family "Bacterial small subunit ribosomal RNA", at positions 29 to 507 of the family's 1533-position model. The record is from RNAcentral.
AGUGAACGCUGGCGGCAGGCCUAAUACAUGCAAGUCGAACGACAACACAGUAAGAGCUUUCUCUUACGGGUGGCGACUGGCGGACGGGUGAGGUAUGCAUCGGCAUCCACUUUUUCGUGGGGAAUAACGUGGGGACACAUACGCUAAUACCUCAUAUGUCCUACCGGAUAGUGCAGGAGUGCUUCGCACUUUUCGCGUUUCAAUGAGCUGGUUUCGCAUUAGCUAGUUGGCGGGGUAAGGUCCCACCAAGGCGACGAUGCGUAGCUGGUCUGAGAGGAUGAUCGGCCACACUGGAACUGAGACACGGUCCAGACUCCUACGGGAGGCAGCAGUGGGGAAUAUUGGACAAUGGGCGCAAGCCUGAUGCAGCCAUACCGCGUGGGUGAAGAAGGUCUUCGGGUUGUAAAGCCCUUUUGUUAGGGAAGAAAAGCAGCAGAUUAAUACACCGCUGUUCUGACGGUACCCAAAGAGUAAGCACCGGCUAACUUCGUG